This 249-nucleotide ribosomal RNA is filed under the name uncultured Lactobacillus sp. Its description in RNAcentral is "partial 16S ribosomal RNA". It matches the Rfam family "Bacterial small subunit ribosomal RNA", at positions 114 to 355 of the family's 1533-position model. The record is from RNAcentral. Lineage: Bacteria; Bacillati; Bacillota; Bacilli; Lactobacillales; Lactobacillaceae.
CACGUGGGGAACCUGCCCCAUAGUCUGGGAUACCACUUGGAAACAGGUGCUAAUACCGGAUAAGAGAGCAGAUCGCAUGAUCAGCUUUUAAAAGGCGGCGUAAGCUGUCGCUAUGGGAUGGCCCCGCGGUGCAUUAGUUAGUUGGUAAGGUAAAGGCUUACCAAGGCGAUGAUGCAUAGCCGAGUUGAGAGACUGAUCGGCCACAUUGGGACUGAGACACGGCCCAAACUCCUACGGGAGGCAGCAGCC